RNAcentral lists this ribosomal RNA (600 nucleotides) under Dietzia sp. RNAcentral describes it as "bacterial SSU rRNA". It matches the Rfam family "Bacterial small subunit ribosomal RNA", at positions 142 to 757 of the family's 1533-position model. Lineage: Bacteria; Bacillati; Actinomycetota; Actinomycetes; Mycobacteriales; Dietziaceae. The record is from RNAcentral.
GAUAAGCCUGGGAAACCGGGUCUAAUACCGGAUAUGAGCUCCUGCCGCAUGGUGGGGGUUGGAAAGUUUUUCGGUGCAGGAUGAGUCCGCGGCCUAUCAGCUUGUUGGUGGGGUAAUGGCCUACCAAGGCGACGACGGGUAGCCGGCCUGAGAGGGUGAUCGGCCACACUGGGACUGAGACACGGCCCAGACUCCUACGGGAGGCAGCAGUGGGGAAUAUUGCACAAUGGGCGAAAGCCUGAUGCAGCGACGCCGCGUGGGGGAUGACGGUCUUCGGAUUGUAAACUCCUUUCAGUAGGGACGAAGCGAAAGUGACGGUACCUGCAGAAGAAGCACCGGCCAACUACGUGCCAGCAGCCGCGGUAAUACGUAGGGUGCAAGCGUUGUCCGGAAUUACUGGGCGUAAAGAGCUCGUAGGCGGUUUGUCACGUCGUCUGUGAAAUCCUCCAGCUCAACUGGGGGCGUGCAGGCGAUACGGGCAGACUUGAGUACUACAGGGGAGACUGGAAUUCCUGGUGUAGCGGUGAAAUGCGCAGAUAUCAGGAGGAACACCGGUGGCGAAGGCGGGUCUCUGGGUAGUAACUGACGCUGAGGAGCGAA